GUCCGCUUGGGGCAAUGGUAGCGCAUUCGACCCCAGAUCGUAAGGUGGGCGUUCGAUCCGCUCAGUAGUCA
Molecule: transfer RNA, 71 nt
Filed under: Angiostrongylus costaricensis
Lineage: Eukaryota; Metazoa; Nematoda; Chromadorea; Rhabditida; Metastrongylidae
Rfam family: tRNA
About the family: Transfer RNA (tRNA) molecules are approximately 80 nucleotides in length. Their secondary structure includes four short double-helical elements and three loops (D, anti-codon, and T loops). Further hydrogen bonds mediate the characteristic L-shaped molecular structure. tRNAs have two regions of fundamental functional importance: the anti-codon, which is responsible for specific mRNA codon recognition, and the 3' end, to which the tRNAs corresponding amino acid is attached (by aminoacyl-tRNA synthetases). tRNAs cope with the degeneracy of the genetic code in two manners: having more than one tRNA (with a specific anti-codon) for a particular amino acid; and 'wobble' base-pairing, i.e. permitting non-standard base-pairing at the 3rd anti-codon position.
Source: Rfam by way of RNAcentral